UCCCAAGUGGUCUAUAGUGGCUAGGAUUCCGCGCUCUCACCGCGGAGGCCAUGGUUCGAUUGCUUGGGAA
This is a non-coding RNA of Potamilus streckersoni, 70 nucleotides long. NCBI's taxonomy places the organism in Eukaryota, Metazoa, Mollusca, Bivalvia, Unionida, Unionidae. The record is from the annotation of a GenBank genome assembly.